Long non-coding RNA from Aethina tumida (small hive beetle), 885 nucleotides. RefSeq lists it as uncharacterized. Lineage: Eukaryota; Metazoa; Arthropoda; Insecta; Coleoptera; Nitidulidae. The record is from RefSeq and is a predicted model, not a curated record. The transcript is spliced from 4 exons.
AUUUUAAAAAUAAACCUAUUGCCGAGGGAUACGAAGCAAUCGUUUGAAGUGUUAACGCAGAAGGAAAUGUAUUAAGUCCUCGCGCUGGAAAUCCUUUAGUAAUCAACGAACGAUUAACGCUUCACAGCAAUGCCUCAAGAUUCAUGGACCGAAGUAUAUGUGUAAAUAAAAAAUUGUGAAGACCCAAACAACGAGACUUUAACAGAUGCUCGCGUAUAUUUGAAUAGCGGUACUCAGAUGUAAAGGGCUAAAAAAUUUUCUCCAGAACUUCAAAUAACUAGAAUGUUUACUGUUUCAAUGACCAGAUAAUUUUAUUUAAAAAAUACUACAUAAUAUUAUUAUUCCUGAAACCAAAUGAUAGUUGAUAAAAUAUACAGAUCUAUUAAAUUUUUAAUUUACUAGAGUGAUGUAACAAAUUAUAUUUACUGCAUAUUUACAAGAUUACUAUUUAUUAUAAUUGAGUGCAUAUUGUUGUUCUAUUUUUUUGCAGCAAAAUUUCUAUUAAUUUAAAUUGUUAUCAAAAGGAAAUUUGCAAUAUUAACUCACUUUUGUUUACAUGGGUGGCACUUAGGGAUAAGAAAAUUUUGAUGUGCCCCAUUAUUUAGAGAUAUAUUCGAAUAUAUAAAGGACGAUUGAUUGCAACAAUUAACGUCAGAUUAUUGCCUGAAAGUCGAAUUUUAAAGAUGCCAGGUCCACAUCAUCCACCAGGCCCCCCUCACGAUGAGCAUAGUCCAGGAGUCCCUGGAGGUCCGAGAGAACACAAAGGUCCAGGCGGACAUGAAGGUUCAGGAGUACACAGUGGUCCGAGAGAACAUGGUGGUUCAGGACAUGGGGGUCCAGGUGAGCAUGGUCCAGGUGGUCAUCCUCCACAUGAAGGACCGUCAC